GAAGAAAGAAAGGAAGAAAAAGAAAGAAAGGAAGGGAGAAAGGAAGAAAGAAAGAAAAAAAGGAAGAAAGAAUCAAAAAAGGGUGUUGGCACCUUGGAUACUUAAGUCAACACCUUCCUUAUUAUGUCUUUGCUUUUUGAUAAACUACUCUGGUAAAUUUGCAUUUGAAGAAAGGACUCAAACCUUCUAUUCAGAAAGCAGAGGAGUUGCAAAUUAUAAUUUUAAAAAAUACUCCUCGAGAAGGAUCAGUUAAAAGGAAAUUCAAAUUUAAAGGCUAGCCUUAGAAAAUAGAAAAGAAACAAUACAAAUUAAACUAUAAGCUCAUCCUUCAAUUUAUAGCUGGACCCAGUUAAGAGAGCUCAGAACUGUGGGCAGUCACAAAGGCCACUGCGAAUGUCAAGCCCCUAAGCUGAAUUAAGACACAAACUACAUUUAGGAUGUGAUGAUUCUGACCAAUAUGCACCCUUCCACCACUUUCCCGUGGUAUAAUGCGGCACUACCUAUGGGUCUACUUCAUCUCUUACAUCUUGUAAGGAUGAGGGCUCUCCCUUGAACAUAGGCCCCAACGCAGAAGAGGAAGGUCACUGGGAGCUCACCUUUGUCAUGUCCUUCAAAGGAGAGAUCUGUUGGGGAGAUCUGCAGAGAACAGAGUUAUCUGCUCUCCUCUUGUGUUCAAUCACUUGUGUUUAAAAAGUACCAAGUCUCUUCAAAGAGGAGAAUAAGGCAUGCCUGCAGCCUCCACCUCAGUGAGCAAAGGCUCCUUUAGUCUCUCCCCUAGUUAUGUCAUCCCACAGAGCAGUUCUCUCUGAAGUUAAAGACCCGAGAAGAAAUCGUCCAUCUGAUAGCGUAAAGUAAUGUCUCGGCUCAGCUUUGAUGUCAUUCCUCCAUGACCUGUAAGCCUUCACUGAAGCCUGAGGCACAAGCAUCAAGGCACUCUGCCAGUGACAGGAAACCCCAAAAAGGCAAAGCAGGAUCAAUCUUCAAAUGGCUAGAAGGCACGCCUCAGGACACAGCCUCCCACAGAACUCCGGUUCAUGCCCACAAGGUCUACUUACUUCUAAUCCUGAAGAAGAGUUGCCUAUUAAAAAAGAGAGACUUGGGGCUGGCCAGAUGGCUCACCAGGUAAAGGCACUUCCAGCAAGCUUAAUAAACCAAACUCAAUCCUCUGGCCCCACACAGCGAUGGAAAUUGCUGACUCCCACAAGAUGUACUCUGAUUGUCAUACACAAGCUGUGGCAGGUUAGUGUCACCUACACAUGAAUAAAUAAAUGUAACAUUUUUUAACACAGUGAGCUGGGGGGAGGGGAGUGUCCAGUAGAAGAAAUACCUUAUAAAAAAUAAAAUGGUAGAUGAAGAAAAUAGUUAAAAAUAUGAGAGUCUAAAAAGAUGGCUUAGUAGCAGAGGAUGCUCACCUAUGAGAUAAGUUCAUAAAGAAAUCAUGUGACAUUCCCUUGUCUGAUUGUGGACAACAAGACACUCCUCAUUCCUACUCUGGAAGAAAGCAAUCUCACUCUUACUUUGAAGGAAGAAAUGCUGUAGAAAGAGGCGGAGUUGUUGGGUGUUCACAUUCACUGUAUUCUCAGUAGAUGUUCCCAUGUGGAUUAGCUCAUACCUGCCUGUAACUACAGCUCCCAGAAACUCAACACCUUCUACUGGCCUCCCAAGGAACCCCAUGUACGUAUCAACAUGUACACACAUAAAUAAAAAUAGAAUGACAUGUUUUAAAAAAUAAAAAGUGAAGCCAGGCAGUGGUAGUGCAUGCCUUUAAUCCUAGCACUUGGGAGGCAGAGGCAGGUGGAUUUCCGAGUUUGAGACCAUGGGGAUAUUCAUCACAUAUUCACAAGUGCUUCAGUUCGUUUGAAGGUCACUUAACUGAAUCAAAUCUCAAAAGUCAUAGGGACAUCUUUUCCCCUAUGAUUCCAAUGCUAUUAAUUUAUAUGAUACUCACAUAAACAUACAAAGAUAUGCACAUAAAGACAUUUAUUGGAGCAAAGUGAUAACAGCAAAACCUGCCAACAAUGUGUGAUAUUAAAUGUAUCCAUAUUCAUAUUUAUUUCAGCCUUUGUCCAUUAAUACUGUCUUACAAGCC
This is a long non-coding RNA of Mastomys coucha (southern multimammate mouse), 2089 nucleotides long. RefSeq lists it as uncharacterized. The record is from RefSeq and is a predicted model, not a curated record. NCBI's taxonomy places the organism in Eukaryota, Metazoa, Chordata, Mammalia, Rodentia, Muridae. The transcript has 2 exons.